UCUUGUUUGUCUAUGUCUCUCUCUCUGUCUUGUACGAACCGUUUGCAUCAAUUUUUCUGUUUUUCUGGAGUUUGCAUCAAUUUAUCUCUGUAAAGGUCAGUGGAGAUUGAUCUCUGUGUUUGAAUUCAGUGUAAAUUCCAUUUGUUUUUUGAUUGAGUUCCAUUGAUGACGAAGCUCGUCGAGUUCCUUUCUGAGAUUUGGUCUGCAAAUGAUUUUAUUUUUAAAAGGGAGAAUAUGUAAAAAUCUGGGUAUUGUCUUGAAAUUUUGAGCGUGAAGUCAGUCUUAAUUUGUUUAUUUAUUGGAUUACUGAACAAAAGAUUUGAAGUGUUGAGAUUUACGCAGUCUGAGUUCUUUGUGUUCGAGCCUUGGUCGUUUAGAUUCUUAGUUUUAUAGCUUUUGGUCACUAGUUUUAGUGAUUGAAACUUUGAAUACCACGAAUUAAAAUGCUUUGGUCUGAUCCAAGCAAAGAUGUCUAAGGUUGGGCCGUUGGGGAAUGAAUGACCGUGGCGUCUCUUACACCAUGUUGUAGAGGAUGGAUAUGAGUUCUUUGCUGAUAGACAGCUUGUUACUAUCUUUUCUGCUCCUAACUACUGUGGUGAAUUUGACAAUGCUGAUGUAGUUCAAGUCCCAUUUACUAACUUAUGCCGAGUUGAGUGUUUCACUUCCUGAUUCAGAUUUUUGGAUUGUAAAAAUGGUUCAUCAGAUCUAACUGAUGUGUGGUUUCUUCUCAAAAUGACACUAGCUCCUCUUUUGCAUACAUAAAUUCUUUAAAAAUAUGACUGAUUAAAACGGAAGUGUAUUCGUUUUCUUUGCUAAAGUUUUAAACUUUGUGAAUA
Long non-coding RNA from Capsella rubella, 836 nucleotides. RefSeq lists it as uncharacterized. The record is from RefSeq and is a predicted model, not a curated record. Lineage: Eukaryota; Viridiplantae; Streptophyta; Magnoliopsida; Brassicales; Brassicaceae. The transcript has 2 exons.